CGCCUGGGGAGUGCGGCCGCAAGGUUAAAACUCAAAUGAAUUGACGGGGGCCCGCACAAGCGGUGGAGCAUGUGGUUUAAUUCGACGCAACGCGAAGAACCUUACCUGGCCUUGACAUCCAGAGAGCUUUCCAGAGAUGGAUUGGUGCCUUCGGGAACUCUGAGACAGGUGCUGCAUGGCCGUCGUCAGCUCGUGUCGUGAGAUGUUGGGUUAAGUCCCGUAACGAGCGCAACCCCUAUCCCUGGUUGCUAGCAGGUAAUGCUGAGAACUCCAGGGAGACUGCCGGUGACAAACCGGAGGAAGGUGGGGAUGACGUCAGGUCAUCAUGGCCCUUACGGCCAGGGCUACACACGUGCUACAAUGGCGCGUACAGAGGGCUGCCAACUCGCGAGAAUGAGCCAAUCCCUUAAAACGCGUCGUAGUCCGGAUCGGAGUCUGCAACUCGACUCCGUGAAGUCGGAAUCGCUAGUAAUCGCGAAUCAGAAUGUCGCGGUGAAUACGUUCCCGGGCCUUGUACACACCGCCCGUCACACCAUGGGAGUGGAUUGCACCAGAAGUAGUUAGUCUAACCUUCGGGAGGACGAUUACCACGGUGUGGUUCAUGACUGGGGUGAAGUCGUAACAAGGUAACCGUA
RNAcentral lists this ribosomal RNA (635 nucleotides) under uncultured Marinobacter sp. RNAcentral describes it as "bacterial SSU rRNA". It matches the Rfam family "Bacterial small subunit ribosomal RNA", at positions 870 to 1504 of the family's 1533-position model. The record is from RNAcentral. Lineage: Bacteria; Pseudomonadati; Pseudomonadota; Gammaproteobacteria; Pseudomonadales; Marinobacteraceae.